This 72-nucleotide transfer RNA is filed under the name Sphaerodactylus townsendi. Its description in RNAcentral is "tRNA-Pro". It matches the Rfam family "tRNA". From Rfam's summary of the family: Transfer RNA (tRNA) molecules are approximately 80 nucleotides in length. Lineage: Eukaryota; Metazoa; Chordata; Lepidosauria; Squamata; Sphaerodactylidae. The record is from RNAcentral.
AGGGAUGUGGCUUAGCGGCAGAGCAUCUGGUUAGGAUACAGAAGAUCCAAGGCUCAAUCCCCGGCACCUCCA